CCUACGGGGCGCAGCAGUGGGGAAUAUUGCACAAUGGAGGGAACUCUGAUGCAGCGACGCCGCGUGAGUGAAGAAGUAAUUCGUUAUGUAAAGCUCUAUCAGCAGGGAAGAAAGUGACGGUACCUGAAAAAGAAGCUCCGGCUAAAUACGUGCCAGCAGCCGCGGUAAUACGUAUGGAGCAAGCGUUAUCCGGAUUUACUGGGUGUAAAGGGAGCGUAGGCGGUAAGGCAAGUCUGAUGUGAAAGGCCAGGGCUCAACCCUGGGACUGCAUUGGAAACUGUUUAACUGGAGUGUCGGAGAGGAAA
RNAcentral lists this ribosomal RNA (305 nucleotides) under uncultured bacterium. Its description in RNAcentral is "bacterial SSU rRNA". It matches the Rfam family "Bacterial small subunit ribosomal RNA", at positions 338 to 660 of the family's 1533-position model. The record is from RNAcentral.